AUGAACCUGAGUUGGGGGCGGGGGUGACCAGGGAGCAGAGCUGCAGACAAGAAGGCUGCUUGAGGACCUAGUUGAGGCAGAAAGACCCAGGGCAAGUCCAGUUUCUGUGCUUGGGUGUUCCUGGCAGCUCUGGUCCCUUCAUUCGUCUUCCUCUGCUCUCCUGCCCCUUUCCUCGCCCCUUUCCUGGGCUCCUACUCUCCGUCCUUUUCUGUGCAUGUUAAGGCAUAUUAAAGAUUGGCAAGGUGUUCCUGGCGGCAGGCAUGAGUAGUUUUUGUUAAACAGAACUUUCAGAAGUAAAGGGGAAAACCAAAACAAUUUCCCCCUUCGAAUAAGUUGUAUGUCUAAGAGGCCAGAGAACUCUUGAGGAUUUCCCCCAGGAUCUUUUCCACUGAGGAUGUUUGUUUGCUUUUUCAUUUGAGAGUAGGGACUGAUUCAUUCAUUAAACCAAUAUUUGCUGAGCUUGUAUGAUAAGCAAGCACCACCGCAGCUGCCGGAGAAAUCGGAGUGAACCAAAAUGGCAAAAGCCCUGCCUUGGUGCCCCGUACGUUCCCGUAGGGAACACAGUUGGGAAAUGGAAUAAAUAACAGCAACAACAACAGCAAUGCAUGUGUCUUGCUUGUGGUGGUGAGAAGUGCUCGGGAGAGAAUAAAGAAGGGUACAGCGUAAGGAUCCCUUGAGCUGCUGUCUGAGAGUAACCUGUGAAUGACAGGGUGAAGCCAGUUAGGAAGCCUUUGCAGUAAUCCAAGAAAGUAAUCCAUGGAAGACCAAAGUAGUAACAGAAAUGGAGCAGUGGUGACUCUGAUCUAAAGAAGAGCAUGAGAAACCACGGUGCCUAAUUUGGGAAGCCCUGAAGUGAUCCACUCUGGGAAUAGGUGGUUUGUUUGGCCCUGUGAAGCAGAACUCAGGCCUCCAGCCUCUGCUUGUCUGGACCUAAAGGUGUUUCCUGAGGGCCGAGGCGGCCCUGCCUCGCAGGUAUCUCCGCAGACCACAGCGACGGCACCGGAGGCGCGACGCUCCCUCCUGGCACGCACUCGGGCCGCGGGCUCCUCCGCUCCCCUUCCAACCCCAGCUCUGCUGCCCAGGCCGGAUGCUGAGUGAGAUAAUGUGAGAAAAAACACACUGGAUGUCAUAUGUGGGGGUCACCUGACCUAGUACUCUGGAAAAAGUUCAGGCCAGAGAAGAAAACUGAGGAAGGACUCGGAUUUGCAUGAUGUGUAGAAGUGGGCGCACGGUGAAACUAGCAAAGCCUGAGACUCACAGCUCCACCCUGAACUACCAGACUCUUCCCAAGCCCCAAGAUGGCCGCUGGCAAUUUUGUGUCUGCGAUGGUACGUUCGUGCUCAUAAAUGGACUUCUCAAACUGUAUAAGCAUCAGCCCCUCCAGGUCUGCUCCUGAGGAAAUGCCUCUCUCUGUAGCUCUUGGCUUUCUAGAACGUUUGUAAUCCUCUCGUUCCGCCUCCCCAGACAGGGGGUGCAACAAGGACGGGAUGUGCUCACGGGAAGGAGGGCCUUGGAGAAUGGCUGGGAGGGGAGAGACCACCACAGCGGGGUUCAAAGUGAUGCAUUGUAGAGACUAGGAUGGCUUUCUUCAAGGGUUUCCUGUCUUGUCCUUCUAGGGUGGUGAUUCUCAGUCGAAGGUAAUUCCCCCCAGACGCCAUUUGGCAGUAUCUGUAGACAUGCUUUGUUGUCUCCAAAUGGUUGGGCUGUGGAGAUGCUACUGGCAUCUAGUGGGUGGAGCCCAGUGAUGUUGCUAAACACCCUGCAGGACCACAGACCGGGAUCUGGCGCCAGAGCUCCAUAGUUCUGAUGUUAAGAAAUCCUGUUCCAGAGUGCUCCUUUUCCUGCAGGUCACUGACAACUCAGGUUGUCAAAAUGAACAACGAGCAAACAGUAUAAGGUAACUUCUUGGAGAGGUUUUGCAGUUUCGUCGUCCCUGUCAGCUACUGUGUGGCAGGUAUCUGGCUCCUCUUUAGUGACUUUCACUCCUACCCACCCUCUGCCCCCCACAUACACAUAUGCAAAGGCUGUGAGGUUGGUGGCUUUAAUGAACGCCCUGGUGAAAACCUGAUUCCGGCAGUCAUAUGGGAGAGAGAGGCCCUCCUCUCACCAAGGGACUGGGCUGUAUAUGGCCUCAGGGUUAUGGGAAAAUCCCAGGCACUGGAGUGGGGCUUUGCAGUCUAAAAGCAUCAGCCAUUUACUUCAACACCGUGAAUUUUUUUUUUAAGAUUUUAUUUAUUUAUUUGACAGAGAGAAAUCACAAGUAGAUGGAGAGGCAGGCAGAGAGAGAGAGAGGGAAGCAGGCUCCCUGCUGAGAAGAGAGCCCGAUGCGGGACUCGAUCGCAGGACCCUGAUAUCAUGACCCGAGCUGAAGGCAGCGGCUUAACCCACUGAGCCAACCAGGCGCCCCAACACCGUGAAUGUUAAUGCAAGUUGAUGGAAAUGUCCAUACCCUCUCCAGGCUGCUUAACCCUACUAGUUCAAAUCCCAGAAUUCCCAAUGGACUGCUCCAAAUCCCUGCCUUCUGACCUCAGCUGGUCCUCCACUGUCUCUUGGCCUUCCUUCAGGUCACCUUCUGAUUGUGUGUCUGCCUUAUUCCUAUGACGGCUCCCUUCCAAGGCCCCAAACCAUUCUCUCCCUAUUUCCCUUCUGCAGAUGGCGGUGCCUCUUGCUUUCCUGAGAUGAGUAACACAAUAAUUACAGCUGCUACUAUUUAUUCCACAGCUGCAAGCACCAGGCUGGCGAAGAAGAGGUGUUCAAGGGGCAUGUCGCUAACCCCGCUUUGCAGAUGAUGAAACCAGAGUAGAGGCCUCUCACUCUUCCAAGUCACAGUAUGAGCAUUUGAUCCCAGGCCUGUCCAUCUCCAGUAUGAACUUCCUAUACUUCUCUCUUUUGCAAAUCUCUUUUUUUUUUUUUUCCUUUUAAAGGAUUUUAUUUAUUUGUCAGAGAGAGAGAGAAGGCACAAGCAGGCAGAGUGGCAGGCAGAGGCAGAGAGAGAAGCAGGCUUCCUGAUGAGCAAGGAGCCCGAUGUGAGACUUGAUCCCAGGACCCUGGGACCAUGACCCGAGCCGAAGGCAGCGGCUUGACCGACAGCCUGUCUCAGGUGUCCUGUCUCUGUCUUGAUCCCUAGGUCUUGGAAGAAGAAAAGUUCUUUCAACCCAAAGUUUCCUCCUCAGUCUUGAUCCUGGAUUUCUCCUGUUUCCCACUGCACAUCACUCCAUCUCCCACAGCCCUGCUUUCCCUACACAAUCCUGUCUCAUCUUCUUUGCUUCACUGUCAACUUGUUAAAAGGAAGAAUGUCUCAGUUUGACCCCUCUAGUCACCUAUUCUCUAGUCCCCUUCCCUGGCUCUGUGUUCCCUUGGGUCCCCUUUCCUUCCUGGAUGGGCACUAUGUCCACCUCUUACCCUGUAGUUUCUUGGUGUUGGGGACCGCAUCCUGAAACACAAAUAGUGAUGGUCAUGACCUCACACUGAGAACUGGACCAAAACAAGACAAACCCUCCCAGGGGCCAGAGAGAUGGCUAAAGUAGGGCUCCCAGGGAAAUUCCUUUGGGCUGGAGUUCUGUUCAGUAUAAUGACGACACACUAUUGCCAUUUUUAGAGCAGUGAUUACCAAAUGGAAAUACCCUACUUCACCAGAGACUGAGAUCUGAAGUCACUAGCUUCAUAUCUAAAUGUCAUUCGAAUCUUCACUGUAACCAAAGCUCUGAUUAACAGAAACACAUGACUACAAGCUAGGGGAUUCAAUUCCUGUUUUUUCUUCCUGUUUGUCCUCUGCUAAAAUAAAAAAAGAAAUACCUAAGAGAAACUUCUCGCUAUUGUUAUCCUGAUAGUAUAUUACUACUACAUACAUGGAGCUGAGUUAAACAAUAAAUAAUUUUUGAGCUGUUGGCAUCAAAUGUCCAUCAGUUUUCAAAAAGCAAGUAAAGAAAA
Molecule: long non-coding RNA, 3930 nt
Organism: Mustela lutreola (European mink)
Lineage: Eukaryota; Metazoa; Chordata; Mammalia; Carnivora; Mustelidae
Exons: 5
Source: RefSeq, a predicted model, not a curated record